CUCUGGAUUGUAAACUUCUUUUAUCUGGGACGAAAACGGGAUUUUUAUCUCAAUUGACGGUACCAGAGGAAUAAGCACCGGCUAACUCCGUGCCAGCAGCCGCGGUAAUACGGAGGGUGCGAGCGUUAUCCGGAUUUACUGGGUUUAAAGGGUGCGUAGGUGGGCUUAUAAGUCAGUGGUGAAAUCUCCGAGCUUAACUUGGAAACUGCCUUUGAUACUAUAGUUCUAGAAUUAACUGGAGGUAAGCGGAAUAUGUCACGGAGCGGUGAAGUGCCUAGAUAUUACAUAGAACACCGAUUUCGCAGGCUGCUUACUACAUAUAAA
RNAcentral lists this ribosomal RNA (324 nucleotides) under uncultured bacterium. RNAcentral describes it as "bacterial SSU rRNA". It matches the Rfam family "Bacterial small subunit ribosomal RNA", at positions 416 to 739 of the family's 1533-position model. The record is from RNAcentral.